Molecule: long non-coding RNA, 374 nt
Organism: Larimichthys crocea (large yellow croaker)
Lineage: Eukaryota; Metazoa; Chordata; Actinopteri; Sciaenidae
Exons: 3
Source: RefSeq, a predicted model, not a curated record
UGUAGUUUGUGAAGUUCGCGAACAUCGAGGAGGACACGCCGUCCUACCAUCGCAGCUACGACUUCUUCGUGUCUCGCUUCAGUGAGAUGUGUCACUCUGAACACGGAGACCUCGACAUCCAAAACAAGAUCCGUGUGUCGGGGAUCCGUGGUCUGCAGGGCGUGGUCAGGAAGACGGUGGACGACGAGCUGCAGGUGAACAUUUGGGAGCCACGUCACAUGGAGCAGAUUGUCCCCGCUCUGCUGGUCAACCUGCAGCAGCACACACACACCGACAGCGAGUCUCCAGCCGAGCAGACUGAGGUGUGUUUCAGGGAGCUGUUGGGCCGAGCUGCUUACGGACACAUUAGUAACGCCAUCAGACCUGUGCUGAUG